This 506-nucleotide ribosomal RNA is filed under the name uncultured bacterium. RNAcentral describes it as "partial 16S ribosomal RNA". It matches the Rfam family "Bacterial small subunit ribosomal RNA", at positions 29 to 523 of the family's 1533-position model. The record is from RNAcentral.
AGUGAACGCUGGCGGUAGGCCUAACACAUGCAAGUCGAACGGCAGCACAAGAGAGCUUGCUCUCUGGGUGGCGAGUGGCGGACGGGUGAGGAAUACAUCGGAAUCUACCUUUUCGUGGGGGAUAACGUAGGGAAACUUACGCUAAUACCGCAUACGACCUUCGGGUGAAAGCAGGGGACCUUCGGGCCUUGCGCGGAUAGAUGAGCCGAUGUCGGAUUAGCUAGUUGGCGGGGUAAAGGCCCACCAAGGCGACGAUCCGUAGCUGGUCUGAGAGGAUGAUCAGCCACACUGGAACUGAGACACGGUCCAGACUCCUACGGGAGGCAGCAGUGGGGAAUAUUGGACAAUGGGCGCAAGCCUGAUCCAGCCAUACCGCGUGGGUGAAGAAGGCCUUCGGGUUGUAAAGCCCUUUUGUUGGGAAAGAAAAGCAGCCAGUUAAUACCUGGUUGUUCUGACGGUACCCAAAGAAUAAGCACCGGCUAACUUCGUGCCAGCAGCCGCGGUAA